This 500-nucleotide ribosomal RNA is filed under the name uncultured bacterium. RNAcentral's name for it is "partial 16S ribosomal RNA". It matches the Rfam family "Bacterial small subunit ribosomal RNA", at positions 30 to 523 of the family's 1533-position model. The record is from RNAcentral.
AUUGAACGCUGGCGGCAGGCCUAACACAUGCAAGUCGAGCGGAUGAGAGGAGCUUGCUCUUCGAUUCAGCGGCGGACGGGUGAGUAAUGCCUAGGAAUCUGCCUAGUAGUGGGGGACAACGUUUCGAAAGGAACGCUAAUACCGCAUACGUCCUACGAGAGAAAGUGGGGGAUCUUCGGACCUCACGCUAUUAGAUGAGCCUAGGUCGGAUUAGCUAGUUGGGAGGGUAAAGGCCUACCAAGGCGACGAUCCGUAACUGGUCUGAGAGGAUGAUCAGUCACACUGGAACUGAGACACGGUCCAGACUCCUACGGGAGGCAGCAGUGGGGAAUAUUGGACAAUGGGCGAAAGCCUGAUCCAGCCAUGCCGCGUGUGUGAAGAAGGCCUUCGGGUCGUAAAGCACUUUAAGUUGGGAGGAAGGGCUCAUAGCGAAUACCUGUGAGUUUUGACGUUACCAACAGAAUAAGCACCGGCUAACUUCGUGCCAGCAGCCGCCGUAA